RNAcentral lists this ribosomal RNA (253 nucleotides) under uncultured bacterium. RNAcentral's name for it is "partial 16S ribosomal RNA". It matches the Rfam family "Bacterial small subunit ribosomal RNA", at positions 524 to 776 of the family's 1533-position model. The record is from RNAcentral.
UACAGAGGUGGCAAGCGUUGUUCGGAAUUACUGGGCGUAAAGGGCGCGUAGGCGGCCAUCUAAGUCAGACGUGAAAUCCCCCGGCUUAACCUGGGAACUGCGUCUGAUACUGGACGGCUUGAGUAUGGGAGAGGGAUGUAGAAUUCCAGGUGUAGCGGUGAAAUGCGUAGAGAUCGGGAGGAACACCGGCGGCGAAGGCGGCUGCCUGGACCAGUCCUGACGCUGAGGCGCGAAAGCUAGGGGAGCAAACAGG